GAUGAACGCUGACAGAAUGCUUAACACAUGCAAGUCAACUUGAAUUUGGGUUUUUAACUUAGAUUUGGGUGGCGGACGGGUGAGUAACGCGUAAAGAACUUGCCUCACAGCUAGGGACAACAUUUAGAAAUGAAUGCUAAUACCUGAUAUUAUGAUUUUAAGGCAUCUUAGAAUUAUGAAAGCUAUAAGCACUGUGAGAGAGCUUUGCGUCCCAUUAGCUAGUUGGAGAGGUAACGGCUCACCAAGGCGAUGAUGGGUAGCCGGCCUGAGAGGGUGAUCGGCCACAAGGGGACUGAGACACGGCCCUUACUCCUACGGGAGGCAGCAGUGGGGAAUAUUGGACAAUGGACCAAGAGUCUGAUCCAGCAAUUCUGUGUGCACGAUGAAGUUUUUCGGAAUGUAAAGUGCUUUCAGUUGGGAAGAAAGAAAUGACGGUACCAACAGAAGAAGUGACGGCUAAAUACGUGCCAGCAGCCGCGGUAAUACGUAUGUCACGAGCGUUAUCCGGAUUUAUUGGGCGUAAAGCGCGUCUAGGUGGUUAUGUAAGUCUGAUGUGAAAAUGCAGGGCUCAACUCUGUAUUGCGUUGGAAACUGUAUAACUAGAGUACUGGAGAGGUAAGCGGAACUACAAGUGUAGAGGUGAAAUUCGUAGAUAUUUGUAGGAAUGCCGAUGGGGAAGCCAGCUUACUGGACAGAUACUGACGCUGAAGCGCGAAAGCGUGGGUAGCAAACAGG
This 735-nucleotide ribosomal RNA is filed under the name uncultured Fusobacterium sp. RNAcentral's name for it is "bacterial SSU rRNA". It matches the Rfam family "Bacterial small subunit ribosomal RNA", at positions 28 to 776 of the family's 1533-position model. Lineage: Bacteria; Fusobacteriati; Fusobacteriota; Fusobacteriia; Fusobacteriales; Fusobacteriaceae. The record is from RNAcentral.